UUCCGUCAGUGCAGGGAGGCAGAGCUUGGGGUGAGGGGCAGAGGGAAUCAGCCCAAUUCCUGUGGCAGGCAAGGAGACCCUGGGACAUUGUGCCCACUUCCCCCAUCAGAGUUAAUUUGCAUUUCUAAAGCUCGUCUGCUGGCUGCCUGGAAGGAAGGUUCUCUUCCAGGGCAGCCAUCCGAUGAGCUGCUUGUGCCCCUUUCCCCUCCCCCCUCCACUUCCUUUUUUUUUUUUUCCUUUUUUUUUUAAAUGGUAUUUUGUUUUAUUACUGUUUAUGAGUUAAAGGGUCACCUUUAAAACUUUUCCAGUUUCGCAAAAUGCAACUUAAAGGUGAGCAUCAACAAACCCAUUCCAAAAUUCUGCCGUCACUAAUAGCCAUGCACACACAUACAGAAAAAAACCCCAAAGCAGUAAAGAUUUUUGCUACUUCUUCCCCUCGGACUAAAAAUUGACUCUCACACCCCUGGCCCAAACCCAGCUGACAAUGUCAGAGUAGGAUUAU
Molecule: long non-coding RNA, 502 nt
Organism: Corvus hawaiiensis (hawaiian crow)
Lineage: Eukaryota; Metazoa; Chordata; Aves; Passeriformes; Corvidae
Exons: 2
Source: RefSeq, a predicted model, not a curated record